RNAcentral lists this ribosomal RNA (380 nucleotides) under uncultured eukaryote. Its description in RNAcentral is "partial 18S ribosomal RNA". It matches the Rfam family "Eukaryotic small subunit ribosomal RNA", at positions 592 to 976 of the family's 1831-position model. The record is from RNAcentral.
CAAUAGCGUAUAUUAAAGUUGUUGCGGUUAAAAAGCUCGUAGUUGGAUUUCUGCCGAGGACGACCGGUCCGCCCUCCGGGUGAGUAUCUGGCUCGGCCUGGGCAUCUUCUUGGAGAACGUAACUGCACUUGGCUGUGUGGUGCGGUAUUCAGGACUUUUACUUUGAGGAAAUUAGAGUGUUUCAAGCAGGCACACGCCUUGAAUACAUUAGCAUGGAAUAAUAAGAUAGGACCUCGGUUCUAUUUUGUUGGUUUCUAGAUCUGAGGUAAUGAUUAAUAGGGAUAGUUGGGGGCAUUCGUAUUUAACUGUCAGAGGUGAAAUUCUUGGAUUUAUGAAAGACGAACUUCUGCGAAAGCAUUUGCCAAGGAUGUUUUCAUUAA